Brienomyrus brachyistius is the source of this 260-nucleotide long non-coding RNA. RefSeq lists it as uncharacterized. The record is from RefSeq and is a predicted model, not a curated record. Lineage: Eukaryota; Metazoa; Chordata; Actinopteri; Osteoglossiformes; Mormyridae. The transcript is spliced from 3 exons.
GUUUGAACAGCAGACCUAAGGGUUAUCCCGAAAACCUACACACACACUGGCCCUUGAGGAUACGGCAGCAGAACUCCCACGGCGCCCCCACCACUCUACGGCAGGCCAUCCAGCGCUCUCAGCACAAGACUGUACUCAAAUCACCUGGUUCGUCUCACCUCCAAGACACCCGAUCCUCAGCCUCCUUUCCCCAGAUCUUAUCGUCAUGGAAGAGAGCAGCCUGUUCGAUAUCCAUCUACAAAAGAGUAAAUGGUUUACCA